Molecule: ribosomal RNA, 909 nt
Filed under: methanogenic prokaryote enrichment culture B31_4_128
Description: bacterial SSU rRNA
Rfam family: Bacterial small subunit ribosomal RNA
Source: RNAcentral
AGAGUUGAUCCUGGCUCAGGAUGAACGCUAGCGGCAGGCUUAACACAUGCAAGUCGAGGGGCAUCACGAGUAGCAAUACUUGGUGGCGACCGGCGCAAGGGUGCGUAACGCGUGAGCAACAUGCCCGUAUCAGGGGGAUAAUCCAGGGAAACUUGGUCUAAUACCCCAUAGCAAUUGAAGGAGGCAUCUUCUUUGAUUUAAAGCUUUGGUGGAUACGGAUUGGCUCGCGUGACAUUAGCUAGAUGGUAAGGUAACGGCUUACCAUGGCUACGAUGUCUAGGGGUUCUGAGAGGAGGGUCCCCCACACUGGAACUGAGACACGGUCCAGACUCCUACGGGAGGCAGCAGUGAGGAAUAUUGGACAAUGGAUGGAAAUCUGAUCCAGCCAUGCCGCGUGCAGGAAGACGGCCCUAUGGGUUGUAAACUGCUUUUAUAUGGGAGCAAUAAGACCUACGUGUAGGUCGAUGAGAGUACCAUAUGAAUAAGCACCGGCUAACUCCGUGCCAGCAGCCGCGGUAAUACGGAGGGUGCAAGCGUUAUCCGGAUUUAUUGGGUUUAAAGGGUGCGUAGGCGGUUUGAUAAGUCAGCGGUGAAAUAUUUCAGCUUAACUGGAAGGGUGCCGUUGAUACUGUCGAGCUUGAAUUUAGUUGCUGUGGGUGGAAUGUGUGGUGUAGCGGUGAAAUGCAUAGAUAUCACACAGAAUAUCGAUUGCGAAGGCAGCUCACAAAGCUAAUAUUGACGCUGAUGCACGAAAGUGUGGGGAUCAAACAGGAUUAGAUACCCUGGUAGUCCACACUGUAAACGAUGAUAACUCGCUGUCGGCGAUACACAGUCGGUGGCCAAGCGAAAGCGAUAAGUUAUCCACCUGGGGAGUACGACCGCAAGGUUGAAACUCAAAGGAAUUGACGG